GAUGAACGCUGGCGGCGUGCCUAAUACAUGCAAGUCGAGCGAACAGACGAGGAGCUUGCUCCUCUGACGUUAGCGGCUGACGGGUGAGUAACACGUGGAUAACCUACCUAUAAUACUGGGAUAACUUCGGGAAACCGGAGCUAAUACCGGAUAAUAUAUUGAACCGCAUGGAUCAAUAGUGAAAGACGGUUUUGCUGUCACUUAUAGAUGGAUCCGCGCCGCAUUAGCUAGUUGGUAAGGUAACGGCUUACCAAGGCAACGAUGCGUAGCCGACCUGAGAGGGUGAUCGGCCACACUGGAACUGAGACACGGUCCAGACUCCUACGGGAGGCAGCAGUAGGGAAUCUUCCGCAAUGGGCGAAAGCCUGACGGAGCAACGCCGCGUGAGUGAUGAAGGUCUUCGGAUCGUAAAACUCUGUUAUUAGGGAAGAACAAAUGUGUAAGUAACUAUGCACGUCUUGACGGUACCUAAUCAGAAAGCCACGGCUAACUACGUG
RNAcentral lists this ribosomal RNA (497 nucleotides) under uncultured bacterium. RNAcentral's name for it is "partial 16S ribosomal RNA". It matches the Rfam family "Bacterial small subunit ribosomal RNA", at positions 28 to 507 of the family's 1533-position model. The record is from RNAcentral.